AUGAACGCUGGCGGCGUGCCUAAUACAUGCAAGUCGAGCGAACGGAUGAGAAGCUUGCUUCUCUGAUGUUAGCGGCGGACGGGUGAGUAACACGUGGAUAACCUACCUAUAAGACUGGGAUAACUUCGGGAAACCGGAGCUAAUACCGGAUAAUAUUUUGAACCGCAUGGUUCAAAAGUGAAAGACGGUCUUGCUGUCACUUAUAGAUGGAUCCGCGCUGCAUUAGCUAGUUGGUAAGGUAACGGCUUACCAAGGCAACGAUGCAUAGCCGACCUGAGAGGGUGAUCGGCCACACUGGAACUGAGACACGGUCCAGACUCCUACGGGAGGCAGCAGUAGGGAAUCUUCCGCAAUGGGCGAAAGCCUGACGGAGCAACGCCGCGUGAGUGAUGAAGGUCUUCGGAUCGUAAAACUCUGUUAUUAGGGAAGAACAUAUGUGUAAGUAACUGUGCACAUCUUGACGGUACCUAAUCAGAAAGCCACGGCUAACUACGUGCCAGCAGCCGCGGUAAUACGUAGGUGGCAAGCGUUAUCCGGAAUUAUUGGGCGUAAAGCGCGCGUAGGCGGUUUUUUAAGUCUGAUGUGAAAGCCCACGGUCAACCGUGGAGGGUCAUUGGAAACUGGAAAACUUGAGUGCAAAAGGAAAGUGGAAUUCCAUGUGUACGGUGAAUGCGCAGAGAUAUGGCAGGGAACACCAGUGGGCGAAGGGCGAACUUUCUGGGUCUGUACUGGACGGCUGAUUGUGCGAAAAGCGUGGGGGAUC
This 763-nucleotide ribosomal RNA is filed under the name uncultured Staphylococcus sp. RNAcentral describes it as "bacterial SSU rRNA". It matches the Rfam family "Bacterial small subunit ribosomal RNA", at positions 29 to 770 of the family's 1533-position model. The record is from RNAcentral. Lineage: Bacteria; Bacillati; Bacillota; Bacilli; Caryophanales; Staphylococcaceae.